GGUGAAUUAUCAGAGGAAGAAAAGAGGGCUAUUUCAGACCUUGCAGUGUCCUGGGAUUUGCCUGGUGUGACAUCAGAGAACAGAAGAUGGCUGCUUGACAAACUGCUCAUUCAUGCAGUCCUUGAAAGAACCUCCAAGCAAGUAAAGCAGCUACGGCGGGGUUUGAAGGAAACAUUGAUCUGGCCUUUGCUUUCUGAGAGGAAAGACACUAUUCCUCUUCUCUUUCCCAGGACUUGUGAUACAGUGUACACCCCACUAAUGAUUUUAGAGAGGAUAAUUUGGCCAACACAUGAUGAAGACAGCGAGGCCUCUCUUGAAGACACAUGUAGGCUCACCGGAUUCCUUCGCACCUUCAUCGGAAAUUCUUCUUAUAAUAUCUUGCGGUUUCUAAUAAAAUUCUGGACUAGAUGGGAUGUACUGCCCAGGAGCCUAGACGUUGAGGUGGUGGAUGGAAACCUACCCAAGUCUUCCACAUGCUAUCAAACUCUCAAGCUUCCUAGUCAUUACAAGGACUAUGCUGCCUUUGAGAGAUAUAUUUUAGCUGCUAUCUGGAGCUUAGAUUAUGGAUUUGGAAUGGUCUAAGUUUGUGUUACAAAUAAUAUCAGAUGCCAUAUUUCUACUGGAGGUAGUGUUUAAUUUUUCUAAAUUUUUCAUGUCUAAAUCGGAUAUUCAGUCAGAAGAUCUCAAACCUGUUUGGUAUGUUGCAGUGUUCAGAGCUUUGUAUUCGAUGCCAAAAUAACAUUUGAUAAGAAAUUUAAGAAUUUAUUUGCUUGGAUGUACUAAAAAGAUACUGUUCUAGACAUUUUAGCUUUAUUAAAUGGUUUGGAAGUAGUUUGAGCAACUAAGAAUAUUCACUGGAUGCAAGAGUUAUUAUUAACUGGCACUAAAUGUCAAAAUGCCCCACUUUUUUCUUCCUGGAAAGCCAGCCUGUGAAUUUUGUAAGCAAUUUUGACAUGUAUUCAGAACCUUGUUGUCAAAGUUACACCAAACUAAGCUUUGGUCAAAAGGUUAUUUGAAACAUUUAUUGACUUUGGUACAAGACUGUUCAAAGCCAUCAUUACACAAAUUCAAUAA
This 1074-nucleotide long non-coding RNA is filed under the name Sinocyclocheilus grahami. RNAcentral's name for it is "lncRNA (ENSSGRG00000041298.1)". Lineage: Eukaryota; Metazoa; Chordata; Actinopteri; Cypriniformes; Cyprinidae. The record is from RNAcentral.